Molecule: unclassified non-coding RNA, 332 nt
Filed under: soil metagenome
Description: partial contains 5.8S ribosomal RNA, internal transcribed spacer 2, and large subunit ribosomal RNA
Rfam family: 5.8S ribosomal RNA (bases 1-120)
Source: RNAcentral
GAUGAAGAACGCAGUGAAAUGCGAUAAGUAGUGUGAAUUGCAGAAUUCAGUGAAUCAUCGAAUCUUUGAACGCACAUUGCGCCCCUCGGUAUUCCGUGGGGCAUGCCUGUUCGAGCGUCAUUUACCCCUCAAGCACUGCUUGGUGUUGGGCGUCUGUCCCGCUUCGCGCGCGGACUCGCCCCAAAGGUAUUGGCAGCGGUCGUGCCAGCUUCUCGCGCAGCACAUUGCGCUUCUCGAGGCGGUCGAUCGGCGUCCACGAAGCUCACCUCCACCGUUUGACCUCGGAUCAGGUAGGGAUACCCGCUGAACUUAAGCAUAUCAAUAAGCGAGGA